GAUUUGGAAAGGUAUUAAAGCCACACUUGAUGAUUAUGCUGUGAAGGUUAGAUCAAGGGGAGACAAGGAAUUUAGCCCUGUAUACCCCCUUAUGCUUCGGUUAGGAUCCUCUUUGACGGAGAAUGCUCCUGUGUCCCAAAAGCCUUAAAUUCCGGUACAUCUCUUGGAAGCCCCAAAACUUUAAACCCUUGUCUGAGGAUUUUCGCCUGUGUCAUACGUGUACAGGAG
This 228-nucleotide unclassified non-coding RNA is filed under the name Hevea brasiliensis (rubber tree). Lineage: Eukaryota; Viridiplantae; Streptophyta; Magnoliopsida; Malpighiales; Euphorbiaceae. The record is from RNAcentral.